This is a long non-coding RNA of Pygocentrus nattereri (red-bellied piranha), 1033 nucleotides long. RefSeq lists it as uncharacterized. The transcript has 4 exons. NCBI's taxonomy places the organism in Eukaryota, Metazoa, Chordata, Actinopteri, Characiformes, Serrasalmidae. The record is from RefSeq and is a predicted model, not a curated record.
AAGAAACACUGGAAGUUUCUUUUAGCCUCGUUUGAACCGGGACAGCAACCUUAAGGCCGGGAAAACGGAGACUGGCCACUUUUUGGGGGUGGAUGUUGCGUGAAGGUCUGUCUGUGGAAAUGAAAUAGUAGUUUGUCUGGAGGGCAGAGCAACUUUUUGUCGAGGAUGAUGCACCAGCUCCCCUAAAAAAGUUGAGCCCAUGCGGACGGUGGUUCCUUUGUUCGAGAGAGUGGACUGAGGCAGCCAGGAGCUGAAUGGAGGAAGAAGAGAGUUAGACUAUCUGGUUCCCAAAUCGCUUCUCUUUGGCUCAGGGCGUUUGAUUGAACGCUUCACUGUGUGAUUUCGGUUAAAUGCGUGUAUUGCUUGGGGGAAAAAAACGCGAGGAUCCGCGCGCACUGGGUUGCUUUGGGGAUUUUACGCACCAAGAACGAACUUCACCUGGAACGUAAAACAUUUCCAAAGUCGUUUUCUGUUAAGUGUAGCCUUCAGAGUGAGGACCGAGGGAGCAACAGAAAAGGAAAGCACAUCUUUUAUUUCUCACUCCAUUCCGUGGAUGCACAUUAUCGUUGAGGAAGCGUGGUGAGAUGAUAUCACCAGUGGUGGAGUAAUUACUACCCAUAAAUCAAGUGUGAAGUGUGAAGAGUAGCAGUGGCAUGGUCUGCGUGCUGGUGUUGGCAGCUGUAUUGUCUGGAAGUUACUCAUCCACCUUUGCUUCCUCUGCUGGAAAGGGCAUGACUUUUCACUGUGUGAGCUCCAGACGCAACAGAGAGACGGAGCUGCUGCUGAUCGCUCACGACUUCCUCUGCAUUGUUUUACUCUGUGACUGGAUACCGGCACUGAUAGAUGGAUGAUAGUCUCUUCUGGUUGGUGUUCUCAUUACAUGUGAACGUGUCAGUGAGUGUGUUUGUUUUCUGAUACAUUCAGGUCAAAAAUGUCCUGACUUGGCGAUGUAUAAUAUACAGAGAGGAAGAGAGAGAAAAAAGAGAGAGAAAUGUUGUUCGAUACGUUGAUGUGUAUGUAUACAUGAUACAUA